Long non-coding RNA from Dioscorea cayenensis subsp. rotundata (Guinea yam), 288 nucleotides. RefSeq lists it as uncharacterized. Lineage: Eukaryota; Viridiplantae; Streptophyta; Magnoliopsida; Dioscoreales; Dioscoreaceae. The transcript is spliced from 3 exons. The record is from RefSeq and is a predicted model, not a curated record.
UGCAAUGCUAUCACAGUUGAUACUGGUGUCUAGGGCAAUAUCACAACAUCAUGUUGGAUCUGAAGAUUUUUCCUAUAUGGGCAUGCUGUAUUGGGCUGUGUCUGCAUGCAGCUUUGGUGUGCUAAUAUUGUGUUCGAUGCUGCAAAACUUACCUGGUGAUACUAGUUCACGAUUAGGGGGAGUUCCGGCCUCUACAUGUUCCUUAUUCUGCACAAUAUUUUAUAUGUGUUCAUGCUACUUGUCUCUGACAGCAAAAUCAUAUGCUGCUUGGCAUGCAACAAUGAAUUU